This 666-nucleotide long non-coding RNA is filed under the name Otus sunia (Oriental scops-owl). RNAcentral describes it as "lncRNA (ENSOSUG00000002895.1)". The record is from RNAcentral. Lineage: Eukaryota; Metazoa; Chordata; Aves; Strigiformes; Strigidae.
ACGGAGGAGGUGGUGCUCGGGCAGGAAAACGGAAAUAAUAGUCUCUGAUAAGGAAAGCUGGACUAUAAACAGGUUGCUUUAAAAAAAAAAAAAAAGAGAAAGAGCAGUGGAGCUGUAUUUCCUAGGCUAGACAGCCCGCCAGGCGGUAGCAAGUGACAAUCGCAAGCGGUGUGAGGGGUGUGGUGAGGGCGAGGGGAGAAGUGGCGAUUCCACCCUGCUCGUGGGUGGCCGCGGGCUGCGCUGGGGGGGCAGAAACCCACCGCUUUACUCGCCCUCCCGUCUGUGACGGGUCCCCCGCUGAGGAGAGGAGCCCGGGCCCCGGCGGAGGGGGAGCAGCUGGACCCGGGGGAGCCUGGGGGCUAAAUACUGCUGUAUGCAGGGAGCAAACAGGCAUGUCAACAGCUGGGGGCUGAGUCUGUAUCAUUAAGUAAAAAUUCAGCAGGGUGGGUGGAUGCUGCCGGAGAAAGGAAACGCUCCGCAGGAUAUACCAGGCAACGUCACGGACAUCUCGGAGGUUUUGGAGGACCCGAGGUAAACACCGCUCCCUCUCCCGCCUCGUGCGUGGCUGCUCCGAACGCGGCUUUUCCCGCUGCUUUGGCCACAGCGUCUCCCCACGCAGACCCGGGGGGGCCUCGCCCGGAGGAUUUUGUCUUCUGGCAGCUGUGA